CUUAUUGUUGAUUACUUAAUCCCAAAAAUCAAGAACGGGACGAUGCCUCGAAGUCUGAUUAAAGUUGUUAAUAUUCAUAUCUUCACUUUAUAUGUUAAUCUGUUUCUUUCUUGAUAUGUCUUCUGAGAAAUAUAUAUUGUAUAAAUUUUAUUGGAUUUUUAGAUGGUUAGGGGUGGAUCGAGCUGAAGAGUGAUUAUUCUAUACACCAAGAGAUAGAGAAACUGAAAUUGAGAACAUUCGGAAUGGAACUGCUGUUGAUGGAUAUUGGCGAGUAAUAGGGGACGAUGAAAUUAUCGUUGAUAAUGAUGAAACUCGUGGAUUUUGAAAGACUUUAGAAUUCUACAAGGGAAACUCACCUUGAGGUGACAAGACUUCUUGGAUUGUGCAUGAUAUUAAUGCGAAUGAUGAUCAACAAAGUGUUGCAGAUGAUAGUAACUUAUUAAAUGUUUGCUUUGCAAGUUUUCGUAGUAUGUUGAUAAGACAUAUAAAUUAUGCAUAUGGUGGAUUUUUUUUCUUUCUUUUAGUUUGACGAUUGGAUUUGGUGUAUAAUAUUCCACGAGGAG
This 563-nucleotide long non-coding RNA is filed under the name Olea europaea subsp. europaea. The record is from RNAcentral. Lineage: Eukaryota; Viridiplantae; Streptophyta; Magnoliopsida; Lamiales; Oleaceae.